AACACACUGGAUCAUGAUGGAGCACAGAUCAGCACUGCUCAUUUUAAUCGUCUGUUUUAUGGGUAUUGAUGGUCAGACUCUGACAGAGUCCGAAUCAGUGGUUAAAAGACCAGGAGAAUCCCACAAAAUAACCUGUACAGCCUCUGGAUUCACAUUCAGCAACCACUGGAUCGCCUGGAUCAGAAGGAAUCCUGGAAAAGGAUCGGAGUGGGUUGCUUCUGUCACUACUGGUAGUGGCACAUACUACUCUCAGUCAGUUCAAGGCCGGUUUACCAUCUCUAGAGACAACAGCAAGCAGCAGGUCUAUCUGCAGAUGAACAGUCUGAACACAGAGGAUUCUGCUGUUUAUUACUGUGCUCGAGUCUCACUGUGAUUGAAGUCGGUUCAGCAGCUGUACAAAAACCUUGAGUGCCUUUUAUCUUAUAAGACACUAACGGUGUUUUAGUGACUGUACUGAUACUGAGGAAGAGAACAAUUAGAACUAUUUUGUUUUCUCUCCACCAUCAGGAACAUAAAUCAAAUUUAAGAUAAAAACAUGACUGUGUUUAACUGUGUAACAAGAAUAAAGAAUCCACUGCCUUAU
Molecule: non-coding RNA, 583 nt
Organism: Fundulus heteroclitus (mummichog)
Lineage: Eukaryota; Metazoa; Chordata; Actinopteri; Cyprinodontiformes; Fundulidae
Source: the annotation of a RefSeq genome assembly